AGUUGUCACUCCAGACCAUGCCCUAACUUCCUGAAUAAACGAUGGUUAAACGUUUGCCUUUGCUAACCCCUGGUGGCAACAAAAACGUUGCGUCAGGCCGGGAAAAGCCAGUUCGGCUGGAAAGAGAGGGGGUUAAUGGCCGGUACAAAGUAAAUUAGCCGGGAAUUUUGGCCGAUCUUGCGCAAAAGGGGAAGAGGGAAAACGCAUAUCGGUCUAAAACAAAGAGGAUUUUUAAGCGUGACUAUGCAAAAAUGAAGCGCACCCGCUUUUUGUAGGGUUAAAAGGAGAACAAAUGAGUACCGAACUGAAAUUUUCGCUCGUCACCACCGUCAUUGUGCUGGGAUUAAUUGUGGCUUCCGCACUGACCGCUGUUAUGCACUAAUU
Molecule: small RNA, 384 nt
Filed under: Franconibacter helveticus
Lineage: Bacteria; Pseudomonadati; Pseudomonadota; Gammaproteobacteria; Enterobacterales; Enterobacteriaceae
Description: Enterobacterial sRNA STnc550
Rfam family: Enterobacterial sRNA STnc550
Source: RNAcentral